UACAGAGGGUGCGAGCGUUAAUCGGAAUUACUGGGCGUAAAGCGUGCGUAGACGGUUAUUUAAGUCGGGCGUGAAAGCCCCGGGCUCAACCUGGGAAUUGCAUUCGAGACUGAAUAGCUAGGGUACGGUAGAGGGAAGUGGAAUUUCCGGUGUAGCGGUGAAAUGCGUAGAUAUCGGAAGGAACAUCAGUGGCGAAAGCGACUUCCUGGACCAGUACCGACGUUCAGGCACGAAAGCGUGGGGAGCAAACAGG
This 253-nucleotide ribosomal RNA is filed under the name uncultured bacterium. RNAcentral's name for it is "partial 16S ribosomal RNA". It matches the Rfam family "Bacterial small subunit ribosomal RNA", at positions 524 to 776 of the family's 1533-position model. The record is from RNAcentral.